This is a non-coding RNA of Phlebotomus papatasi, 72 nucleotides long. NCBI's taxonomy places the organism in Eukaryota, Metazoa, Arthropoda, Insecta, Diptera, Psychodidae. The record is from Rfam.
CCUCUAAUAGCUCAGUUGGUAGAGCACUCGUCUAUUUAACGAGAGGUCUCCAGUUCGAUUCUGGGUGGAGGC